UAUCACCUGUAUGACAAGUUGAGUAUAUUGCACUUGGAUGUGAAUCAUGAACAGGUAGACGGUUGGCUCUGCUCUUCUAUGGACUCACUGCAUUAAUUCCAGACUCAGUAGAGAUACCUGACAGCAUCAGGCUUACUGAAACUCAGUACUUCUAGGAUCUAGUGAUCUACCAGUCUCAGCCUCCUCACAAACAGGCAUUGCAGGGAUGUUAGUUUCAAGAAUUAUAAAGAGUGUCAAAAUAUCCUUACUUUCUUCAGAGAGGUCAUUUUCUUCUGCUUCUCUUUCCAUCUC
Molecule: long non-coding RNA, 291 nt
Organism: Antechinus flavipes (yellow-footed antechinus)
Lineage: Eukaryota; Metazoa; Chordata; Mammalia; Dasyuromorphia; Dasyuridae
Exons: 3
Source: RefSeq, a predicted model, not a curated record